GAGCAGAUGGCGAAAUAGGUAGACGCAUCACACUCAAAAUGUGACCCUUUUUGGAUGAGGGUUCAAAUCCCUCUCUGCUCA
This 81-nucleotide transfer RNA is filed under the name Trachydiscus minutus. RNAcentral describes it as "tRNA-Leu". It matches the Rfam family "tRNA". From Rfam's summary of the family: Transfer RNA (tRNA) molecules are approximately 80 nucleotides in length. Lineage: Eukaryota; Eustigmatophyceae; Goniochloridales; Goniochloridaceae. RNAcentral also lists the same sequence under 4 other names. The record is from RNAcentral.